RNAcentral lists this ribosomal RNA (559 nucleotides) under Nakaseomyces glabratus. RNAcentral's name for it is "[Candida] glabrata partial large subunit ribosomal RNA". It matches the Rfam family "Eukaryotic large subunit ribosomal RNA", at positions 87 to 652 of the family's 3401-position model. The record is from RNAcentral. Lineage: Eukaryota; Fungi; Ascomycota; Saccharomycetes; Saccharomycetales; Saccharomycetaceae.
CGGCGAGUGAGCGGCAAAAGCUCAAAUUUGAAAUCUGGUACCUUUGGUGCCCGAGUUGUAAUUUGGAGAGUACCACUUUGGGACUGUACUUUGCCUAUGUUCCUUGGAACAGGACGUCAUGGAGGGUGAGAAUCCCGUGUGGCGAGGGUGUCAGUUCUUUGUAAAGGGUGCUCGAAGAGUCGAGUUGUUUGGGAAUGCAGCUCUAAGUGGGUGGUAAAUUCCAUCUAAAGCUAAAUACAGGCGAGAGACCGAUAGCGAACAAGUACAGUGAUGGAAAGAUGAAAAGAACUUUGAAAAGAGAGUGAAAAAGUACGUGAAAUUGUUGAAAGGGAAGGGCAUUUGAUCAGACAUGGUGUUUUGCGCCCCUUGCCUCUCGUGGGCUUGGGACUCUCGCAGCUCACUGGGCCAGCAUCGGUUUUGGCGGCCGGAAAAAACCUAGGGAAUGUGGCUCUGCGCCUCGGUGUAGAGUGUUAUAGCCCUGGGGAAUACGGCCAGCCGGGACCGAGGACUGCGAUACUUGUUAUCUAGGAUGCUGGCAUAAUGGUUAUAUGCCGCCCGU